AUAGGCUCGACAAAGUAACCCCUCGCGGGUGAAAUCAAUGCCUUUGCAAAAGGGGUGUGCAACCUUUCCGCAAAACGGAUAAAUAAAUACCCCGAUGUAGUCAAUCGGACGCUACUUGCAUUGCCGUCUAUUGUGGUAUGGCGGUUUAAUGGUUGGUACUACGGGCAAUCCGAACUCCACAACGAUAAUAAGAUUGUACGGGGUAUUUUCUAUCGAAAUGAACAGC
Molecule: non-coding RNA, 226 nt
Filed under: unclassified sequences
Description: RT-2 RNA
Rfam family: RT-2 RNA
About the family: Coriobacteriales (Actinobacteria), Clostridiales (Firmicutes). Downstream gene
Source: Rfam by way of RNAcentral